CCCGUACCUAUCAAAGUAGCAUAGACAUCAACGCGAGAAAUGACAGGCAACAUGACAUUGAAACUUCAACUGUCAAAUGCAGCAUACCUUCAACGUGGCAAGAAGACACAGUGCAAUUAUUAGUUGGUCUACCUAGAGAAAUAUAGUUUCUAAACCUAAAUUACUAUUAUAAUUAGUUAAAAUUCCUACCUAAAUAAGUUUCUAUCAAUUGAAAUAUUCUAAUGAAAUCAAGUUUAGCCGAUAAUUGGGAAACUAAGAUACUUACGCUAAUAGUAUGGGAUCGAAAGGUGUUAAACUACGUGAAAUUUGGCUGUUUAACCAUAUUCUAAGUAGACACGCAAAGAAAACAGAAACAAAGGGUUAGUUUGGACACAGUCGGAGAAGAAGAAAACGAAAAUCUAAGAAGCUGCUGUUAGCUGCUAUCUAGACGUGUUUUACUCCUUGUCCGAACAGUUGGCACAACGAGGCUUACAGUUGCAGUGCCUGGUGCCACGCCCAAACUCAAGACAACGCUGACAUUGAGUUUCUGUUUGCGAACCGCGGUACGGUUCCCAGUGGCGGACAACCCUGCCAAUGGUACGCACUGCCC
Molecule: long non-coding RNA, 589 nt
Organism: Armigeres subalbatus
Lineage: Eukaryota; Metazoa; Arthropoda; Insecta; Diptera; Culicidae
Exons: 4
Source: RefSeq, a predicted model, not a curated record